RNAcentral lists this ribosomal RNA (482 nucleotides) under Rhizobium sp. RNAcentral's name for it is "bacterial SSU rRNA". It matches the Rfam family "Bacterial small subunit ribosomal RNA", at positions 851 to 1359 of the family's 1533-position model. Lineage: Bacteria; Pseudomonadati; Pseudomonadota; Alphaproteobacteria; Hyphomicrobiales; Rhizobiaceae. The record is from RNAcentral.
GCUAACGCAUUAAACAUUCCGCCUGGGGAGUCGGUCGCAAGAUUAAAACUCAAAGGAAUUGACGGGGCCCGCACAAGCGGUGGAGCAUGUGGUUUAUUGAAGCACGCGCAGAACCUACCAGCCCUUGACAUCUAGACCGGUAGAGAGAUUUACCUUCCAUUCGGUGGCGUAGAGACAGGUGCUGCAUGCGUCGUCAGCUCGUGUCGUGAGAUGUUGGGUAAGUCCCGCAACGAGCGCAACCCUCCCCUUAGUUGCCAGCAUUCGGUUGGGCACUCUAAGGGGACUCCGGUGAUAAGCCGAGAGGAAGGUGGGGAUGACGUCAAGUCCUCAUGGCCCUUACGGGCUGGGCUACACACGUGCUACAAUGGUGGUGACAGUGGGCAGCGAGCACGCGAGUGUGAGCUAAUCUCCAAAAGCCAUCUCAGUCGGAUGCCUCUCAACUCGAGUGCGAAGUGUAUCGCUAGUAUCGCGUCAUCACGACG